This 78-nucleotide non-coding RNA is filed under the name Actinoplanes regularis. Its description in RNAcentral is "c-di-GMP sequence". It matches the Rfam family "c-di-GMP-I riboswitch aptamer". Rfam says of the family: GEMM was predicted in a large-scale screen for bacterial structured RNA regulatory elements. Genes associated with GEMM are involved in a diverse array of functions, including chemotaxis regulation, signal transduction, secretion and chitin. The record is from RNAcentral. Lineage: Bacteria; Bacillati; Actinomycetota; Actinomycetes; Micromonosporales; Micromonosporaceae.
ACCCGAACAGGCAACCUCGUCGAGUGGCGAGGACGCAAAGCCAGGGGCCUCCCGUCGGAGGUUGCCCAGCCGCCGAAG